Molecule: microRNA precursor, 154 nt
Filed under: Amborella trichopoda
Lineage: Eukaryota; Viridiplantae; Streptophyta; Magnoliopsida; Amborellales; Amborellaceae
Description: MIR8565 microRNA precursor family
Rfam family: MIR8565 microRNA precursor family
Source: Rfam by way of RNAcentral
CCCACACCCAUGUGUGUAGGAACCCAAAGGAUCACCAUUAAAUUUGGCACAGAUCUCUAGAAAAGUUAUCACAUCGAUAUGGGACUUGACUUUUAUAGAAAUCUGUGCCAAAUUUAAUGGUGAUCCUUUAGGGUACUACACACAUGGGUGUGAG